GAUGAACGCUAGCGGCAGGCCUAGUACAUGCAAGUCGAACGAGAUUACGAGGCUUGCUUCUUAUGAAAGUGGCGCACGGGUGCGUAACGCGUAUGCAACCUACCUUAAUCAGGGGGAUAGCCCGAAGAAAUUCGGAUUAAGACCGCAUAAAAACACAGGAUAGCAUUAUCCAAUGUUCAAAUAUUUAUAGGAUUAAGAUGGGCAUGCGUGUCAUUAGCUAGUUGGCGGGGUAACGGCCCACCAAGGCGACGAUGACUAGGGGAUCUGAGAGGAUGACCCCCCACACUGGUACUGAGACACGGACCAGACUCCUACGGGAGGCAGCAGUAAGGAAUAUUGGUCAAUGGAGGGAACUCUGAACCAGCCAUGCCGCGUGCAGGAAGACAGCCCUCUGGGUCGUAAACUGCUUUUAUUCGGGAAUAAACCUUUCUACGUGUAGGAAGCUGAAUGUACCGAAGGAAUAAGGAUCGGCUAACUCCGUG
This 482-nucleotide ribosomal RNA is filed under the name uncultured bacterium. RNAcentral's name for it is "partial 16S ribosomal RNA". It matches the Rfam family "Bacterial small subunit ribosomal RNA", at positions 28 to 507 of the family's 1533-position model. The record is from RNAcentral.